CCUACGGGUGGCUGCAGUGGGGAAUAUUGCACAAUGGGCGCAAGCCUGAUGCAGCCAUGCCGCGUGUGUGAAGAAGGCCUUCGGGUUGUAAAGCACUUUCAGCGGGGAGGAAGGCGGUGAGGUUAAUAACCUCAUCGAUUGACGUUACCCGCAGAAGAAGCACCGGCUAACUCCGUGCCAGCAGCCGCGGUAAUACGGAGGGUGCAAGCGUUAAUCGGAAUUACUGGGCGUAAAGCGCACGCAGGCGGUCUGUCAAGUCGGAUGUGAAAUCCCCGGGCUCAACCUGGGAACUGCAUUCGAAACUGGCAGGCUAGAGUCUUGUAGAGGGGGGUAGAAUCCCAGGUGUAGCGGUGAAAUGCGUAGGGAUCUGGAGGAAUACCGGUGGCGAAGGCGGCCCCCUGGACAAAGACUGACGCUCAGGUGCGAAAGCGUGGGGAGCAAACAGGAUUAGAUACCCUAGUAGUC
This 465-nucleotide ribosomal RNA is filed under the name uncultured Klebsiella sp. RNAcentral's name for it is "bacterial SSU rRNA". It matches the Rfam family "Bacterial small subunit ribosomal RNA", at positions 338 to 795 of the family's 1533-position model. The record is from RNAcentral. Lineage: Bacteria; Pseudomonadati; Pseudomonadota; Gammaproteobacteria; Enterobacterales; Enterobacteriaceae.